ACUCAUCCGAGGCCCCGUAAUCGGAAUGAGCACACUUUAAAUCCUUUAACGAGUAUCCAUUGGAGGGCAAGUCUGGUGCCAGCAGCCGCGGUAAUUCCAGCUCCAAUAGCGUAUAUUAAAGUUGUUGCGGUUAAAAAGCUCGUAGUUGGACUUGUGUCCCACGCUGUCGGUUCACCGCCCGUCGGUGUCUAACUGGCAUGGUUCGUGGGACGUCCUGCCGGUGGUGGCGAGUCGAAGGAGCGCGCCCGUCGUGGUUCACGCCGCGAUCGAGGUUGCGGUCUGUAGACGGACCCCGAUGAAAUCCUACCGCGGUGCUCUUCACCGAGUGUCGAGGUGGGCCGGCACGUUUACUUUGAACAAAUUAGAGUGCUUAAAGCAGGCCUGUUGCGCCUGAAUACUGUGUGCAUGGAAUAAUGGAAUAGGACCUCGGUUCUAUUUUGUUGGUUUUCGGAACCCGAGGUAAUGAUUAAUAGGGACAGUCGGGGGCAUUCGUAUUGCGACGUUAGAGGUGAAAUUCUUGGAUCGUCGCAAGACGGACCGAAGCGAAAGCAUUUGCCAAGUAUGUUUUCAUUAAUCAAGAACGAAAGUUAGAGGUUCGAAGGCGAUCAGAUACCGCCCUAGUUCUAACCAUAAACGAUGCCAGCUAGCGAUCCGCCGAAGUUCCUCCGAUGACUCGGCGGGCAGCUCCCGGGAAACCAAAGCUUUUGGGUUCCGGGGGAAGUAUGGUUGCAAAGCUGAAACUUAAAGGAAUUGACGGAAGGGCACCACCAGGAGUGGAGCCUGCGGCUUAAUUUGACUCAACACGGGAAACCUCACCAGGCCCGGACAC
This 829-nucleotide ribosomal RNA is filed under the name Stenopelmatus sp. 'Catalina Island'. RNAcentral's name for it is "SSU rRNA". It matches the Rfam family "Eukaryotic small subunit ribosomal RNA", at positions 490 to 1231 of the family's 1831-position model. Lineage: Eukaryota; Metazoa; Arthropoda; Insecta; Orthoptera; Stenopelmatidae. The record is from RNAcentral.